UACGGAGGAUGCGAGCGUUAUCCGGAUUUAUUGGGUUUAAAGGGUGCGUAGGCGGGAUGCCAAGUCAGCGGUAAAAAUGCGGUGCUCAACGCCGUCGAGCCGUUGAAACUGGCGUUCUUGAGUGGGCGAGAAGUAUGCGGAAUGCGUGGUGUAGCGGUGAAAUGCAUAGAAAUCACGCAGAACUCCGAUUGCGAAGGCAGCAUACCGGCGCCCUACUGACGCUGAGGCACGAAAGCGUGGGUAUCGAACAGG
RNAcentral lists this ribosomal RNA (252 nucleotides) under uncultured bacterium. RNAcentral's name for it is "partial 16S ribosomal RNA". It matches the Rfam family "Bacterial small subunit ribosomal RNA", at positions 524 to 776 of the family's 1533-position model. The record is from RNAcentral.